AGAGUUUGAUUCUGGCUCAGGAUUAACGCUGGCGGCAUGCCUAAUACAUGCAAGUCGAAUGGUUAGCUUGCUAGCCAUGGCGAACGGGUGAGUAACACGUAGGUAACCUGUCUUCAAGACGAGGAUAACCAUUGGAAACGAUGGAUAAUACUGGAUAGGACAAAUCCCCGCAUGAGGAGAUGUUUAAAGGGGCAAUCCACUUGAUGAGGGGCCUGCGGUGCAUUAGUUAGUUGGUGAGGUAACGGCCCACCAAGACGAUGAUGCAUAGCCGGACUGAGAGGUUGAACGGCCACAAUGGAACUGAGAACGGUCCAUACUCCUACGGGAGGCAGCAGUAGGGAAUUUUCGGCAAUGGGCGGAAGCCUGAACCCGAGCAAUGCCGCGUGAAUGAAGAAGUAUUUCGGUAUGUAAAGUUCUUUUAUUUGGGAAGAAAAACAAAUUGACGGUACCAAAUGAAUAAGCUCCGGCUAACUACGUGCCAGCAGCCGC
RNAcentral lists this ribosomal RNA (489 nucleotides) under uncultured bacterium. RNAcentral describes it as "bacterial SSU rRNA". It matches the Rfam family "Bacterial small subunit ribosomal RNA", at positions 8 to 518 of the family's 1533-position model. The record is from RNAcentral.